Molecule: ribosomal RNA, 253 nt
Filed under: uncultured bacterium
Lineage: Bacteria
Description: partial 16S ribosomal RNA
Rfam family: Bacterial small subunit ribosomal RNA
Source: RNAcentral
UACGUAGGGUGCGAGCGUUGUCCGGAAUUACUGGGCGUAAAGAGCUCGUAGGUGGUUUGUCGCGUUGUUCGUGAAAACCGGGGGCUUAACCCUCGGCGUGCGGGCGAUACGGGCAGACUGGAGUACUGCAGGGGAGACUGGAAUUCCUGGUGUAGCGGUGGAAUGCGCAGAUAUCAGGAGGAACACCGGUGGCGAAGGCGGAUCUCUGGGCCAGUAUUGACGCUGAGGAGCGAAAGCGUGGGUAGCAAACAGG